This 835-nucleotide long non-coding RNA is filed under the name Homo sapiens (human). RNAcentral's name for it is "HSALNT0059044". Lineage: Eukaryota; Metazoa; Chordata; Mammalia; Primates; Hominidae. The record is from RNAcentral.
AUUUAUCUUUUCUAUUAAAGAUUAAUACCUUGAAAUGUCAAAAUAGCAUAGACUUGAGAAAAAUUUAAGCCUUGUAGAGUUACUCUGUAUACUUACCUAUAACAAGCCUCUAGUGUGCUGGCAGAAUGCAGUGUGCAGAUGAAGGCUGAGAGAUAAUAUCCCACCUCUUCUGCUUCAGCUUCCCAGAGUGGGUGUGGCUAGUGGAGGGGAGUUCAUACAACUGACAAUAUGCUUGCCCAAUAUUUUCUGGCUAACCCUCAUUUCUCACAAUGACUCUUUGUAGGCUUUUUUGUUGUUGUUGUUUUUCAUUUCACCUCCAGGUAUGAUUUUUAUUUUUGCAAAGAACUGAGGGAUGAAAAGUUUUGCCAGCAGAUAUUUGGUGUUGUGAACACGUAGAAGUGGUCUAAGGAAGUUACUGGCCUAGUCUCUGCUCUAGUGGAGAAACAGACUGCAGAUUGAAUUCCUACAUAGGCUAUUCCAGAAUUCUUACGAGACUUGCAUUAGGACAUCAGCAACAGGUAUCAUCUAGUGAACUGUUCAGAUGCAACUGAAUUGAAAAGGAGCUGAACAAAAGAUCCUGAGAGAGGUCUGAUGAGACUGCUUUGGUAUUACCAAAUAUAUACAGCAUUUCUGUAUUCUAGCAGAGUAUAUUGCUUGGUACGAGAGAAGGGGUGCAUGAUAAAUGCUCAAUAAUUGCUCCUUGGGUGAAUAAUACAAAAAGACUGUACGUUUGUAAGAAUGAGCGUUAAUAUAUAGAUUCUCAUGUAUUUUAUGGAGUUGAUUAUGUAUCAGUUGACUUUAAGGGAAAAUGGUAAUAAGACUGGAUACAAUAACA